This 492-nucleotide ribosomal RNA is filed under the name uncultured bacterium. RNAcentral's name for it is "partial 16S ribosomal RNA". It matches the Rfam family "Bacterial small subunit ribosomal RNA", at positions 29 to 507 of the family's 1533-position model. The record is from RNAcentral.
AGUGAACGCUGGCGGUAGGCCUAACACAUGCAAGUCGAACGGCAGCACAGUAAGAGCUUGCUCUUACGGGUGGCGAGUGGCGGACGGGUGAGGAAUACAUCGGAAUCUACUUUUUCGUGGGGGAUAACGUAGGGAAACUUACGCUAAUACCGCAUACGACCUACGGGUGAAAGCAGGGGAUCUUCGGACCUUGCGCGAUUGAAUGAGCCGAUGUCGGAUUAGCUAGUUGGCGGGGUAAAGGCCCACCAAGGCGACGAUCCGUAGCUGGUCUGAGAGGAUGAUCAGACACACUGGAACUGAGACACGGUCCAGACUCCUACGGGAGGCAGCAGUGGGGAAUAUUGGACAAUGGGCGCAAGCCUGACCCAGCCAUACCGCGUGGGUGAAGAAGGCCUUCGGGUUGUAAAGCCCUUUUGUUGGGAAAGAAAAGCAGCAGGUUAAUACCCCGCUGUUCUGACGGUACCCAAAGAAUAAGCACCGGCUAACUUCGUG